AGUAAAUAAAGGCAACAGUAGUAUACCGCUGUUCAAACUCAUAAAUCCAUGGACAAAAAACAAAAUCGGGGUAACAAACUAAAACUGAGGGAAACGCAUAAAUAUAAGAGGAGAACAACGACACAACACUACAAUGUAACUAACACACACAGAAACGGAUCAAGCAUCAGACAAAAUCCCACGAGAAUAACAAAUAUAAAAUCAAAACCAAACACAUGAAUUUGGGAUAGACAAGUACCGUGACACGUCUUAUCGCAAUGUCAAUUUACA
This 270-nucleotide long non-coding RNA is filed under the name Mytilus galloprovincialis (Mediterranean mussel). The record is from RNAcentral. Lineage: Eukaryota; Metazoa; Mollusca; Bivalvia; Mytilida; Mytilidae.